RNAcentral lists this long non-coding RNA (809 nucleotides) under Pongo abelii (Sumatran orangutan). RNAcentral's name for it is "lincRNA". Lineage: Eukaryota; Metazoa; Chordata; Mammalia; Primates; Hominidae. The record is from RNAcentral.
AGGAGACUGUCAGCAGACCACCUUGGAGGGGAUGCUAGGAGCUGCCGAAUGUGUGAUUCAAAGAUUAAUUCCAUGUGUUUGGAGAAGAAGCCCUAUCCUCAACACAAAGGUUGGCCACAUUCCAGCCAAGGUAGCACGGAGUGAAGGCCCGCGGAGGGAGUGCUGGGCUUUCCUGAACUACUUCAGUACACCUUGCUGUGCCUCGGCCUGCUGUGUUUCAUCCCCAUGGCUGUCCUCAGUGAUGUGCAUGGUCACUGCUCCCUUCACCGCUGAGAAGACGGGCACAGGACAGUCAGGGGACGUGUCCAGGGUCCCACAGCAGGAAGGGCUGGAGCCAGAAUGUGGUCUGAGAGGCUGGAUAUACAAAGAGACAAUGGCGUGACCAUCUGUACAAAUGGAACUAUGGCCCACAACCUGAAGCAGCCAGCCCAGGAAGCCAACCCAUUACCUGCAGCAGCCAGGCUGGACGCUGGCCUGCCCUCGACCACAACAUUGAACCCAACAUCCCCCUAAGUAAAUUGUACUCACAUCAUUGGUCUUAUGGGGAAAUUUUAAGACCUCCCACUUGCAAGGUUUUAUAACCCUCUAUGGAAUUUUGAAGAAAGAGUAAAAUGCAUCCAAAAAAAAAAAAAACUAAACUGGAUAAAUUCUAAGGCCUCUUCAGGUCUUAAGAUGGCCAUUUUCUAGGUCCUCUUGUUGCAGCAGUGAAAUCCACAAACAUGGACAAGUCAGUCAAUUACGUACCUUUCAGAGAAAACUUCUGACUUAGGAAUUCCAGCUAUUUCGCCCAACCCAUAUUAGACUGUGUU